GAGUCUGAGAACUGAGACCAGGCGCCUGAGAAAGAAACAUCGAUGUCUGGAAGGAAGCAGGGCCUCAGGAAGGAUACAGUGAGUCUGGGACUUGCAAAGUGCAUUGUGUCUUAGAACUGCUGACAAAUCACUAGAAAUGUUGGCCCUGACUGCCGAUUCACAGCUUUUGACUGCAUGAUUAUUGAUAGGAAUUCCAGUAUGAUGGACCAGCCACAGCUGUAUUUCACAGGAGAUGAACUGGACAAGGACAUGUGAGUGGAGGUAAAGGACCUGUA
This 275-nucleotide long non-coding RNA is filed under the name Anas platyrhynchos platyrhynchos (common mallard). Its description in RNAcentral is "lncRNA (ENSAPLG00000020845.1)". The record is from RNAcentral. Lineage: Eukaryota; Metazoa; Chordata; Aves; Anseriformes; Anatidae.